Caenorhabditis elegans is the source of this 21-nucleotide non-coding RNA. The record is from Ensembl. NCBI's taxonomy places the organism in Eukaryota, Metazoa, Nematoda, Chromadorea, Rhabditida, Rhabditidae.
UACUUAUUGUUCUUGUAAGUG